AUUGAACGCUGGCGGCAUGCCUUACACAUGCAAGUCGAACGGCAGCACGGGAGCAAUCCUGGUGGCGAGUGGCGAACGGGUGAGUAAUAUAUCGGAACGUGCCCAGUCGUGGGGAUAACGUAGCGAAAGCUACGCUAAUACCGCAUACGAUCUAUGGAUGAAAGCGGGGGAUCGCAAGACCUCGCGCGAUUGGAGCGGCCGAUAUCAGAUUAGGUAGUUGGUGAGGUAAAGGCUCACCAAGCCGACGAUCUGUAGCUGGUCUGAGAGGACGACCAGCCACACUGGGACUGAGACACGGCCCAGACUCCUACGGGAGGCAGCAGUGGGGAAUUUUGGACAAUGGGCGCAAGCCUGAUCCAGCAAUGCCGCGUGCAGGAUGAAGGCCUUCGGGUUGU
Molecule: ribosomal RNA, 395 nt
Filed under: uncultured bacterium
Lineage: Bacteria
Description: bacterial SSU rRNA
Rfam family: Bacterial small subunit ribosomal RNA
Source: RNAcentral